This 27-nucleotide non-coding RNA is filed under the name Rattus norvegicus (Norway rat). Lineage: Eukaryota; Metazoa; Chordata; Mammalia; Rodentia; Muridae. The record is from RNAcentral.
UGGAGUUUCAAGAGUUUGUUAGGCACA